This 641-nucleotide ribosomal RNA is filed under the name Circinella umbellata. RNAcentral describes it as "eukaryotic LSU rRNA". It matches the Rfam family "Eukaryotic large subunit ribosomal RNA", at positions 66 to 647 of the family's 3401-position model. Lineage: Eukaryota; Fungi; Mucoromycota; Mucoromycetes; Mucorales; Lichtheimiaceae. RNAcentral also lists the same sequence under 1 other name. The record is from RNAcentral.
UAACAAUGAUUCCCCUAGUAACGGCGAGUGAACAGGGAAAAGCUCACAGUUGGAACCUAGCUGCCUUAGGUAGUUCGGAUUGUAAACUGAAAAAGUGUUAUCCAGGCUAGCCGAGUAAAUAAGUUUCUUGGAACAGAACAUCAUGGAGGGUGAGAAUCCCGUCUUUGGCUUGAGCAUAGUCUUUUGUGUUGCACUUUAACGAGUCAGGUUGUUUGGGAAUGCAGCCUAAAGUGGGAGGUAAAUCCCUCCUAAAGCUAAAUAUUGGCGAGAGACCGAUAGCAAACAAGUACCGUGAGGGAAAGAUGAAAAGAACUUUGAAAAGAGAGUUAAACAGUAUGUGAAAUUGCUAAAAGGGAAGCGUUUGAAGACAGACUAGCUUGGUUAUAAUCAGCCUGGAUUUUUCUUGGUGUACUUGUAGCCUAUGCUUGUCAACAGCAGUUUGGUUUGGCUGAAAAAACUGAUAGUAAGGUGGCUCUCUUCGGGGAGUGUUAUAGACUGUUAGAAAAUCAGUUGGACUGGACUGAGGAAUGCAAUGCAGCUUGCCUUGGGGUGAACCAGAUUGGAUAGGAACCAUUGUUCUUUGAAGGUUUGGGUAGCUCUUCGAACUGUAUUUAGGUUGUUGGCUUAAUGUCUUUAAACGA